AUAUGAAAAGCGCCAGAACUGCAGGACAGCCAGUUUUGCAGUGGACGAGGUAGGGGUUGAUCGAAAAUUCGGCGGAUGGCCCCUCGGCUGCGAGUGAGUCGGUCGUUAGCAGAACGUGUAAACCCCGGGAGCAAUUCCGGAAACAGAGCGUUG
RNAcentral lists this non-coding RNA (153 nucleotides) under uncultured Butyricicoccus sp. RNAcentral's name for it is "glmS glucosamine-6-phosphate activated ribozyme". It matches the Rfam family "glmS glucosamine-6-phosphate activated ribozyme aptamer". Rfam says of the family: This entry contains a glucosamine-6-phosphate activated ribozyme that is found in the mRNA for GlmS. GlmS is an enzyme that uses fructose-6-phosphate and glutamine to generate glucosamine-6-phosphate. The record is from RNAcentral. Lineage: Bacteria; Bacillati; Bacillota; Clostridia; Eubacteriales; Butyricicoccaceae.